CCAAAUCUGGCUUCGGCUCACAGUCCUGCAAAUGCUAACUUAAGUGGCAUAUACAACAAUGGUGACACUCGGCUGGUUAUGAGACCAAGUGUAUCUUCAACUGUCUACACUUCUAGUAGCAGAUGGGAAGCGGAGCGUCCUGCUUCUGGUGUCUCUUACAAUGCUGGUACUUCUUCAGGUAGAUCUAGUUAUCGGCCUGGGUUCACUGAUAUAUCAGGUUCUCCCAUGGGUUGGGGUUUAUCCUACAAGCGCAAGGUCCUUGAAGGCAGUUCUGGGCAGUCUUGUGGUAGAAGUUCGAGCUCCAAUGCACAAUCUGAGAACAUUAGACCGCACAAUUUUCCAAGUCAACAUGGUGCUUCCAGCAGCUUAAACAUAUCACCAGCCUCUGCAAGCGUGCAGAAUAGGAUUGGUACAAGAGUGAUUGCCUCUGACAUAAUUCCUCCUCUUAGUGCUAGUGGAGUUGCGGAAACCUCUGCCAGAAAUUCUGGGAGUGGACAAAAUCUUGAGAAUCAUGAUACAGUUACAUUUGGUUUACUGCCAACUAGGACCAAUUUAGGGCAUUCUAGUGUUGGUUCUACUCUUGUGACUCCUCAACCUAUUUCAGUAUCUAAUUAUUUGGGAUCCAGACAACCAAUUUCACAGUCAAUGAAUGCAGGUAACUCAAGAAGCCAUUCUGGCCUAAUGUACGUUUCUGGUGUUCCAAGUGGUUUGCAUCCAGUUCCCCGGAAUGUGUCUCCUAAUUCACGAGGUGGUAGUUCAUCAAGUCUAAAUGUGGUUUCUCCUGAUAGUGAGGAUGAAGCUAACUUCUGGAGCUCAAUAAGAAGUAAUAGGGUACCUCUUCCAUUUGUUCCUGCUCCUGAGUCUGGAAAUAUGGUACAGGAUUCAACUAAUUGGAGUUUAGCUACUUCAAAUGGAAGCUAUUCCAGAAACAUGCCUUCUAGUUCUGCACUCAGCCGUGGGCCAAGUAUGCAAACUUCUACUACUGCAAGGACACCUUAUCAGAACUUAGCAACCAGUAGUACUCAUAGUUCUUCAGAAAUUUCUCCUAGGACUCUCCUACCUCUUGUUGAGUCCGAGUCUGGAAGUCAGAGAGGUAAUUUUCCCCUGCUAUCAUCAGCUGCUUCUCCUGUGGAGGAGGCAGAGAUAUCAUUGCGAUCUAGUAGCCGGGGAUCUAGUAGCCGACGUAAUCAUCGAAACCACCUAAUAUCAUCUUUAAUGACCAAUUUUCCAAGUAAUGAAGUGGAUGGAUCGCGUGGUUUAGCUUCUGAUAUCGAGGGUCGCCACAGACUGGUACGGGAGGUUUGUGUUUUAUAAUAGUAUCAAAACUGUUGUACUUUGGUUUGUUCAUGAAUGUUUUCAACUGUUCUCAUCUCGUAUCUGGCCUGAGGAAAGUAUAAAUAUUUCUUCUUGUAUUAUUAUUUUGUCUUCCUGAAGAUUUCUUCCUUUCAUCUACCUAUUCGUGUUGCCCUUUUUUCUUACUUGCUCAUCUUGUGAUUAGUAUUUAGUUCAGGAUUAGUGGAUCAUGUACUGUCCCAACAUAGUGCAAGUAUUGGUAUCACACAUGAACAGAAGCACAUGCCUCCUUAUAGUUCUUUUGACAAUUAGCAUGGAGUAUACCUUCUGGAUGAGUUAAGAAUUGCAAUUUGCUUAAGGGGUCGUUUGGUAGGAUGUUCAAGAAUAGUACUGACUAUGUUUUUUUUUUUGAUGACCGUGGUGAAUAUGGUGUAUUACUAAUGCUGAGAAUAGUUUUGUUGGGAUUAUUUCUAGAGCUGUGUUGCCCACAACUUGGAACUUAGAAUGAAUGUUAUGUCUCAAUGAAUAUGAAUCGAAGCACCUAUACUUUUUACCUUUAUAUUUUCAGAAGCUGAUACUUUAUGGUUUCACUCUUUCUAGUAAUUGGGUGUAGCAUGAUCUUCAGUUGUCCUGGAUUUUGGUUGUGCCAAGUUCACUUUUUGAAUAAAUCCAGCUGGUUUUAUGUUGCUUCAUGCCGUUCUUUUGAGAUAGUUUUGAUCUACGGUUAAUUUUCUCAUUACUUACGAAAUGUUGCUGCUUGCAUUCAACAGAUUCGUCAAGUCCUACAUUCCAUGCGGAGGGGCGAGAACAGGCGAUCUGAGGUUUUAUUUUCAUCCUUAUGAUACCCUAAUGAAUGCUCAGCUUGUUUACGCAUGUACUUUGUAUGAAUAUUAUGUAGUUCAUGAUCUGAACACCGUGAUGGAUGAAGUUUCUAUCGAUUUGCUGAGCUGUGAAAUGUUAUAAACAUAAUUACUUUUACUUGUUAUAUUUGCUCCAUAAGCUGAAGGGGUAGAAAUAUGGCCAGAAUUGUAACAUGUCCAGCCAUAGAUAUCUGGAUGGAAAACAAAUUACCUAAGUUGUGUUAUUUUCGACGACGAGUGAUAUUUUUACUAGACUGCCAAUUAGGUUGUUCGGGUGAAAAAUAUUUGUCAGAAUUUGGUUGAUGAUGCUUGUAACCCGUGCUCCACAAGCUUAAGUAAGAGAGAUGUUUGUCCAGAAUUUGGUUGAUGAUGCUUGCUACCUAUCUUUCUUCUCUUUUCUUCUUUUCAAUGAGGUGAAAUAUAAGGUGAAAUAAGCCUUAAGAAGCCUAUUAACACUUACCUGCCUAAACCAUGCAAAGAUUCCAGAAUCAAAUCAUUAGCUGCAAGAUACGAUACGGCUCAGCCAAAGAAGGUGAGCACCUAGCGCGAGCCUUCAACACCGUCUUAGCCUUCCCUGAACAGGAUCGCUCCCACACGUGUAUGCGUUCGUUAACUUGCAUAGGUGGUUUCAAUGAAAAAUAUUUCUCAGCAGUUUUUCAAUGGUGCAAUAUUCUUAUUUUUAGCCUUUCUCUUAGUUUUUACUUAAUAUUAUCCUUACUAAGAUGUUUUUAUUUUUAUUUUCCAUCCUAUCCAGAUUUUUGUAGUUCUUAGUCUGUUAUUGUUUUUUAGAUGAUGAAAUCUAAUUGCAUCUGACUGGAUUAUAAAGCCUUCACAUCUUGAUCCCUUGUUAGCAGGAAGGAAGCUCACUUAAUCUAGACUUAUCUCCUCAUUGGAAUUUUGGGUCCUUAGUAGACACCAGUGGUUCAUUUUUUUAUAUUUUUUUUGGCAGGAUUAUAUGAUGCUUGAUUCAUUUCUCAACGGCGCUGCAGAAAUUCAUGAUACACAUAGAGGCAUGAGGCUCGAUGUUGAUAACAUGUCGUAUGAGGUAAUUAUGGUUGUGCUUUGAUAUCACUAAGUUUCGUAAUAGAUUUCUCAUAUUGUAACCCCUUUACAAAUUCGUUUUUUAGUUUUAUAUCUUGAUUUCAAGAGAUUUUCAUUCUUAUAAAUAAGAGAUCUGGAAAUUACGCACCAGAGAUCUUUGAAGGGUUUUUUUUUUUUUUUUUUUUUUUUUUUUCUGUUCAAAAUUGUUAAGGGUUUCGUUCACCUAUCUCUUCUACUUGUAUUCCUUAGGAAUUAUUGGCAUUGGAAGAACGUAUAGGAAAUGUGAACACCGGAUUAAGUGAAGGAACCAUUUUAGAACGUAUGAAACAGCGAAAGCAUGAUUCAAUAUAUGGAGGGUCAUCGUCCAAUAUGGAGCCUUGCUGUAUCUGUCGAGUGAGACUCUUUCUAAUAAUUAGUUGAUAUUUCUAGAGAAGGAUUGUUGAAUAAAUCUCGUUGGUUUUCUUUUACAUUUAUCAGGAGGAAUACGCAAGUGGAGAUUACAUGGGCAUAUUGGAUUGUGGACAUGAAUUCCAUAGUAGUUGCAUAAAGCAGUGGCUAAUGCUGAAGAAUGUGUGUCCUAUUUGUAAGAUGACAGCCUUAAAAAAAUGAAAUGCAACCAAAUAAAGAUAAUUUCCCCUCCUCCAAUUCCCAACAAAAGAAUUCUUGUUGUUACUAUUUUAUAACUCAUGGGAUGUUUAUUUAUUUUGAUGUUGUGGUAAAUCCAUAGAAAUCUUGUUAUGAUGUUUGUAUUGAGUAAUACUUCACAAGUUUUUUCUUUAACCAAACAAUGUGUUUAGUUUUGGUGGUAUUUGUCCAUUCCUUUAAUCAUUCAUUAUUGUAAAAAAUAGUUUGCAAGAACAACUCAUUAAUCCUGCUUGGUAAAACUAAAGAACAUUCAUUCUAUGUUACAUGUAUUAAUAUACUUGCAUUUGAGAUUUUGGUCAAGGAAAAAUUGCGUCAGAUUUUUUACUGUCUUACAAUAAUGUGGAUUCAAAUCUUAGGCUUUCCAGUUAAUAAGUUUUGAGUUUACUUUUUUUUGUGAGACAAAAAAAUGUCUCAAAUAAUUAAUGUCACUAGUGUAAUGAUCAUCAUUUUCAAAAACUUGAAUUCUUUUCUUGUUGUAAUCGGCUCAAUGACCAUCAUUCAUCAUUUUCAAAUACUUGAACCUUUUUCUUUUGUUUUGCAACUCGUACACAUAUAUUUUUUGUUAUAUAUAGGUGAUUCUUAAGAUAAAUUAUACUUUUAGAUACAUGAUUUAAUACUGAGUAUUCGGGGAAAUUAAUUAUUUUAAAAAUGAAAAAUGGUCGGUAACAUAUUGAAAAUGACUUGAAUAUAUUUUUUUUCACCUACUUGAUCAUAAUUGUGUUUAACGUUAAUUUUUGGAUCGAAAAUAUGCCUCUUCAAAUCAAUUGAAGCUAAAAAGACAUAAAAUCUGUUAAGAGGGAAAAGCCGGAAAGGAAAAUGCAAAGAGAAACAACAAACGCAAGCAUAGAAAGAGGCCAGAAAUUACUCAGAAAACCAACAACAAAUGAGUCAUACUCGACGGUGGCAGUACCUAAUUAUUCCUUAAUAUAAUCCUUUUAUCUGAUAUACAUAAUUUCUUUAAGCCGAGCAUGUAUUUUUUGUGCAAAAUUUAAUUUGAUGUGUCUUUUUUAUUUUUUAUGACAAAAUAUAAAUUUAUACUUCAAGUUUUAUAUUUUUAAAAAAUAAUUAAAAAUCAUGAUUUGAAAUUUCAAAUCAUGUUUUUUUUUUUUGGAGAAUUUGAAAUUUCAAAUCAUAAUUCCAAAUUGCAUGUCCAGAUAUUGAUUUGAAAUCAUAAUUUUAUUCGCAUGUCCAAAUGCAAGCUUAAAUUAAAUUUCAAUUUUAAGUCGAAUUCUAGCAUAUUGUGAUGGAAUUUCAAGAAAAAAUAUAUAGUGGAACUCAAAUAAAAAAUUGUCUCAUAACUCUAGGGUUGGGUAUGAAAUACCGAAUUACCAAAUUGAACCGAACCAAUUUUUUUUGUUAUUUGGUAUUGGAUAAUUGGGUAUUCGGUAUGGUAUCCAUGAGUAAAAUUUUAGAACUAAGGUAUUCGGGUUUGAGUUUGGUAUGAGACAUUAGUACCAUUUGGUAAUCAGUAUUUCCCAAAUACCGAAUUAUUUAGUUAAUGAAGGUCGUAUAUCAACAUGUCCAUUACUCAUUAGUACAAAUCCAAAGAGAAAGUUAAAGAAUAAACAUAAACAACUCAAAUAUAUGUCUUUUAGUUGUAUCAAUUUAUUUUUCUUGAUGUCUUCUUACUUAUUGAUCUUCAAAUAAAUCGUGCAUCAACAUAAAAAAUAGAAAUGAUUGCAAUAAUAGUAUUAACUUUGUAAUACAAUCGGCUAUAACUUCAAUACAAUAUAAAGAAUAUUAUACCAAACCAAAAUUUAAUUUACCGAUUACCUAAUUAUCGAAUCGAAAUUUAAAAUUUUGAUAUAUUUGGUAUCUAUUUUUAACUACCAAUUAUUCAAUUAUUGAACCUGAAAUUUGAUAAUCCCGAACCGAAUACCAAAUGCCCACCCCUACAUAACUCUGAUUCUAGCUGUGGUAGAUUCAAAAUUUUCAUUGAGAAAGUAACUAUUUUAAAGCUAUUUAAAUCGACUUAUAAACUCUAGUCAAUUAGUAACAUAAAUAAAUAUUGUUACGAGUAGGUGUGCAUAUCAAUCGAUUCAGUUCAAUAUUAAAAUUUAUUGGUUCGAUUUAUCAUUAUCGAGUGCUUGACAUAAUAAACCGUUAAGAUAUCAGUUAUUGAUCAUUGUCAGUCCAAUUUUAUGUUUAACUAUUAAGAUUUCACACCAAAGAAAAUCAUUGAAAAUCACUUAUUAGAAAUAAGUUGACAAACCAAAUGAAUCAUACAUAUAAGUUGACAUAUUACAUCUUGCUCAAACACAAUUAUUCACACCUUGUAAAAUAAUCGAAAGUUUGAGACAAUUAAAAAUAAAAGUAUGAAACUAGAACUAGUUUACAUUGACUUUUGGCUAUGACUUAUAAUUCAAAAGCCUUUUUAUUUUAUCUUAACACUAUAAAACUACUUAAAAAUAAUUUUGGCUUAAAAGCACCUAAAAUAAAUCAAUUCAAACAUGCUCUUAAACCUUAAUUCAUGGACUCUAUAUGUCUAAUGAUAUGAAUAUAAUUUAGAAAUAAUUUAUUAAUUUACUAUCAAAUUAUUGAUUAAAUUGUUAAAAUAUUUUUCAAACCAUUAAAAAUUAAUUAUCUAAUAUUAAAAAAAAUCAAUAUCAUUAUUAAAAGUGCUAAAUUAAUAAUUUUUUUAUUUACCCUCCCUAGGAGCUCCCACCCCUUUUGCUCCUUUGGUGACUCGAACUCGUAACCUUCGGGUUGGAAGUGAGGGGUGCUUACCAUCCGAGCAACUCCCUCUCGUCAGCUAAAUUAAUAACUUUUAUUAAUAGAGUAAAAAUAACUUUUUUAUUAGAAUUAUUAAUUUCGAUUUGAUUAUAAAGGGCUGGGCUAACUAAACUAAGCAGAAAAAAUCGAAGGGCCGGGCUAGUCAAACUAAUUAGAAAACAUAAAUAGUACAUUUAUGAGAGAUUAAUUGUUCAUUCACUUCCGACACAGAGCCACACCUACAUACAGAUAGAGAGGAAGAAACUCAAUUUCUCUCCAUUUCCCUUCACCAAGAACGAAACCCUCAUCUCCAAUGGAGAUAUAGUGUUUUUUUAAUACAGAAAAAGCAAAGCCCAUAACCCCAAUACAUAGAAAUCCCAGAAAAUUCUGUCACUUCACCGAUCAUCUGAUUCUCAGGUAUCUUGAUCGACCCAUUAAUUUUCUUGAAUAUAUGUCUCUGUUAACUAAGAAAUUUCAGCUUUUUGUCAUCUAUUUUUCUUGAAGAAUAAUUGUUACUGACGAUAACACCCUUUUACUUGUUUUUUUUUUUUUUUUUUGUAAUGCGGAUCUGCAAUUCAAUUGAGUUCAGAUACUAGUGGUAUCAAUACAAGUUUUUACUUCUUUCUAAUAUUUUUUAUUUUAUUUUUUGCAAUGAAUUUAAUUGGAUAAACAUGUUCAUUGACUUGUUUGGGACCAAGGUGUAUUUGUUCUUGUCAACUUGUUUGAGACUAAGGGGUAUUUGUUCUUGUUGUUGUUUUACUGACUAUUAGGAUAUCUACUAUAUUGUGAAAAGUUUAUGUGUGGAUUACAGUCAGUACUUGUUGAAAUUAAUCUUUUAUCAGCAUAAUAAUGUUUUUUCUAUAUAAGGCCUGAGGUAUCGACUUUUCAGUUGUUAUAGAAUGAAGAAUGUUGAACCUGAAUAUUCCUUGAAUUGUUGUUUAUGUAAAUAAGACCUUAAGGGGUUGUUUGGUAUGGAUAGACAAAGUGAUUUCACCAUAUACUAUAUGGGAUAAAUUGUCCCUACAUUGUGAUACAAAUGGUGAGAUAAAUAAUCCCAAGACUAACAAAUACACAUACCCUAACCAAACACGGGAUAAAAUAAUCUGGGAUUAUUAUUCAUUGUCUCUCAUAAUAAACGCCCCCUAAGUAAUUUUUAUAUAUAAGUGGUUUCACUUUUGCUCGGGGAGGAUCUGUCAGCCAUGCAUCAAGAUGUGAAUCAAGUGCAUUAUUUUCUAGUGAAUUGCUUUAAUUUGUCCAAUGAUUUUGUCCAAAAAGUAGUAAGGAAGUGACAUUGCCUCAUUGCUGUUAUUUAGUUAUUGUUAACUUUAUUCUACUGUUUUUUGGUAUUUAUUGAAAAAGUAUUCUUUUGUGGGGAAAGAAAAGAAAAGUCUGUUAAACAUGCACAAUAAGUUAACCUUUCCUAAUCACCUUUGCCAACGAAGGUCUAAAGCAUGGUUUACUCUUUUUAGUCUAUGACUCUAUUUUAUUCAACGAUUCUAAGUCAUAGCUUGGGGGUAAAGAUUAUUAUUUGGAACUAGGCAUACUCUCCCAUUUGUGUUUGUUCAGUCGUCUAAGUUUAAGUUGGUCUUUCGUACUUGGGAAAAUUUGGCUCUUCUACCAAAUGUACUUGUAUUUGGUGGAAGUCUGGAUCCAUUUUUUUUUUCCACAACGCUGAUAGGAUACACAAGAUUUAUUUUAUCUUUUGUCAUCUCACUCUGGCACUAUUCAUGUGGCAUGGUAAGCAUUAUGAGUAACUCAUGUGUAAAUUGUUUUUGUCUAGGUCCUCAAGAAUUUUUUAGGUAGAAUCAUUGUCACAACUCCACGCUUACCAAUCAAGCUGCAGAACCAAGCAAUUAAAUGGUCGUAAGUAUCAUGUUUGAGAAAAUUCCAACUGUCUGAAGCAACUUUUGACAGGCUAAUAUUUUGGUGGAGUAUCUAAAGGUAAUAUCAUUGGAUAAGUGAGAACUUGUGUUCAAUUGCUAACAAAGUAAAAAUUUGUGUUCAUUUGUGAACAAACUAUAAAUUUGAAGUAACUUAACAAUUUCUCAGGUAAGCUAUGCGACUAAGGAAAAACGUUUUCUCAUGCUGCUGAUUAUCGUAGUUGCCUUGUUACAUUAGUGAUCAGCAGAUUUCAUAUCAUUCCAUGUAGCUUUAUUUCAUCAUUAGUUGAUGAACAUGGGUUCUGCUUAUGAAGUUUCUAGUAGUUGUGUUCAACGCCAUAUUGAAACUUAUUGCUAAUGGCUGUUAAUUAUAACUGGGGGCCAGUAGGAUGGCCCCGUUGGAACUAAAAUUACUGGUUGUUGUGGUUAAUUCAUGUUUCUCUCUGAGGAUUUAACAACCAGAGUAUUGCUGCUGUUUUUGUGAAGGUAAAAGAUAAAUGUAGGGAGAAAUAUGAGACUGGUUCAAAUGCAGAUUGGAAGUAGCACCUGGACUGUAGCUACAGGGAGAAAAAUGAUAAAAAAGAAGAAGAUGGGGAGAGGAAAGGAAGGAGUCUUGGACCCACCUAGAAUUAAUUAUAGGUAAAACUUGUCAAGGAUAAGAUAUAUAAUUCCUUAUGGUUAAACCUCCCAAGGUAAGGCUACAGAAGAACCAAAAAAGCAAUAAAGCUUGCUUUGAAACUAACAAACAAUUCUCAUAGAUAAGCUCUACUUAAUAAGAACAGUAAAAGAAACAAUUUUAGACUGAAAAAAUUGUUCUUACCUACGAAUAGAACUACUUCAACAUAGAAACAAGCUUGCUCUUGCAUCCUAAGACAAUUGGGACUCAACAAUAAUCUAGGAAGCAAUUAACGUACCUAAAAACCUAUUAAAGAAGUUCUCUGUGGAACCACUACAAGAAUACACCAAAUUAUCUGUCUAAAAACUUAAAUAAAUAAGCUGAAACCUAGAUCAACUGAUGAGCUGGAAAUUAAGCAUAAAUUAAACCUCAGAAAUGAUAAAACAUUCUUCAAAUGUUCACCCUAUAAGAGAGUUUCCUUGUGUUACUUGUGCCCUGCAUGAGGUGCCUUGGUUAUUCUGAUGGAAACUGAAAGCCUUCAGCUAAAAUUAACAGUUGCUUUACCAAUUGUGUCUUUUAGCUUUUGCUCGACUUAUGAUUGCUGUGAACUGAUUCUAUACGCAGCUGAAAUUACUAUCUUAGUGCAACAGAAGUUAUAUAACCAAUUUAGGUUUUAUUAUAUUUUCACUUUUCUCCAGUGAUAUUAUGCUUUAACCUUUUCAAGAUAUCAACUAUUGUUAAUUUUGUUCUUUGACAGAAUUUCCUCACUAGUGCACUCAAGGCCUUGAUUUGCCAUAAUUGGCCAAGAUGCAAGGGAACAGAAGCAUACUAGAUUCCUUUCCAGAAACUAUCGAUCUUAAUCAGGGAUCUGUUUCAAGUAAUGCUUCUGGAGAUCCGACAGCCCCUUGGAAUAAAUUUCUAAAUCCAGUGGAGGAUCAAUUAUCGAAUUCCAUGCUUUCUCCUGCUAGAGAAAAUCGUAGACGUGCUAAUGGUAUUAGUUAUACAACACAGAACUGCAGUUUGCGGGAUCAAGGUGAGUCCAGCUCCAGUGCCAAUUUUCAUGGCAUUGGACAUUGUAGUUAUUUGAAAAUAGGACAUGAUUGGCCUUCUUCAUCAAGUAAUCAUGUCCUGACUAAUCCAAAGUCAGCAGAGAUGCGAUUUGGACCAUCCAAUGUCCUCCAUCCUGAGAGUUCAACAAGUGGAUAUGCUGGAAGUCAUCUGAUUGGAAGCCCUCCAAUUUUACCAAAUCUUGCCUCGGCUCACAGGCCUGCAAAUGCUAACUUAAGUGGCAUAUACAAUAAUGGUGACACUCGGCUCGUUAUGAGACCAAGUGUAUCUCCAACUGUCUACACUUCUAGCAGCAGAUGGGAAGCGGAGCGUCCUGCUUCUGGUGUCUUUUACAAUGCUGGUACUUCUUCAGGUAGUUCUAGUUAUUGGGCCAGGUCUCCUGAUAUAUCAGAUUCUUCCAUGGGUACUCGGGGUAUAUCCUGCAAGCGCAAGGUCCUUGAAGGCAGUUCUGGGCAGUCUUGUGGUAGAAGUUCAAGCUCCAAUACACAACCUGUGAACAUUAUACCGCACAAUUUUCCCAGUCAGUAUGAUGCUUCCAGCAACUUAAACAUAUCACCAGCAUCUGCAAGUGUGCAGAAUACUUAUCACUUGGAAAACCUUUAUCCAAGAAAUAGGGUUGGUACAAGAGUGGGUGCUAGUGGAGUUGCAGAAACCUCUGCCAGAAAUUCUGGUAGUGGACGGAAUCUUGGGACAGAUUUAGGGCAUUCUAGUGUUGGCUCUACUCUUGUAACUCCUCGACCUAUUUCAGUAUCUAAUUAUUUGGGCUCCAGACAACCAAUUUCACAGCCAAUGAAUGCAGGUAACUCAGGAAGCCAUUCUGGCGUAAUGCACAUUUCUGGUGUUCCAAGUGGUUUGCAUCCAGUUCCUUGGAAUAUAUCUUCUAAUUCACGAGGUGGUAGUUCAUCAAGUUCAAAUGUGGUUUCUGCUGAUAGAUAUGCUGCAUCACAAGAUGAUGCUAACUUCCGGAGCUCAAUAAGAAAUAAUGGGGAACCUCUUCCAUUUGUUCCUGUUCCUGAGACUGAAAAUAUUGUACAGGAUACCACUAAUUGGAGUUUAGCUACUUCAAAUGGAAGCUAUUCCAGAAAUACGCCUUCUAGUUCUGCACUCAGCCGUGGGCCAAGUAUGCAAACUUUUCCUACUGCAUGGACACCUUAUCAAAACUUAGCAAACAGUAGUACUCGUAAUUCUUCUGAAAUUUCUCCUUGGACUCUCCUCCCACCUGUUGAGUCCGAGUCUGGAAAUCAGAGAGGUCAUUAUCCACUUCUAUCUUCAGCUGCUUCUCCUGUGGAGGCGGCAGAGAUAUCAUUGCGAUCUAGUAGCCGGGGAUCUAGUAGCCGUCAUAAUCAUCGAAACCAACUUAUAUCAUCUUUGAUGGCCGAUUUCCCAAGUAAUGAUGUAGAUGGAUGGCGUGGUUUAGCUUCUGAUAUCGAG
Molecule: long non-coding RNA, 11546 nt
Filed under: Solanum tuberosum (potato)
Lineage: Eukaryota; Viridiplantae; Streptophyta; Magnoliopsida; Solanales; Solanaceae
Description: long non-coding RNA (STUB_LNC002424)
Source: RNAcentral